AUUGAACGCUGGCGGCAUGCCUUACACAUGCAAGUCGAACGGCAGCACGGGUGCUUGCACCUGGUGGCGAGUGGCGAACGGGUGAGUAAUACAUCGGAACAUGUCCUGUAGUGGGGGAUAGCCCGGCGAAAGCCGGAUUAAUACCGCAUACGAUCUACGUAUGAAAGCGGGGGACCUUCGGGCCUCGCGCUAUAGGGUUGGCCGAUGGCUGAUUAGCUAGUUGGUGGGGUAAAGGCCUACCAAGGCGACGAUCAGUAGCUGGUCUGAGAGGACGACCAGCCACACUGGGACGGAGACACGGCCCAGACUCCUACGGGAGGCAGCAGUGGGGAAUUUUGGACAAUGGGCGAAAGCCUGAUCCAGCAAUGCCGCGUGUGUGAAGAAGGCCUUCGGGUUGUAAAGCACUUUUGUCCGGAAAGAAAUCCUUGGCCCUAAUACGGUCGGGGGAUGACGGUACCGGAAGAAUAAGCACCGGCUAACUACGUG
This 486-nucleotide ribosomal RNA is filed under the name uncultured bacterium. RNAcentral's name for it is "partial 16S ribosomal RNA". It matches the Rfam family "Bacterial small subunit ribosomal RNA", at positions 30 to 507 of the family's 1533-position model. The record is from RNAcentral.